UCCGGUUUGGCACCGGCAGUCUCCCUAGAGUUCCCACCAUUACAUGUUGGCAAAUAACGAUAAGGGUUGCGCUCGUUGCGGGACUUAACCCAACACCUCACGGCACGAGCUGACGACAGCCAUGCAGCACCUGUGCAGAGGUCCCGAAGGAACUCUCCAUCUCUGGAGAUUGCCUCUGCAUGUCAAGCCUGGGUAAGGUUCUUCGCGUUGCAUCGAAUUAAACCACAUGCUCCACUGCUUGUGCGGGUCCCCGUCAAUUCUUUUGAGUUUCAGCCUUGCGACUGUACUUCCCAGGCGGUAUACUUAACGCGUUAGCUCCGGCACAGCCAGGGUUGAUUCCGGCUACACCAAGUAUACAUCGUUUACGGCAAGGACUAC
Molecule: unclassified non-coding RNA, 378 nt
Filed under: uncultured Parachlamydiaceae bacterium
Lineage: Bacteria; Pseudomonadati; Chlamydiota; Chlamydiia; Parachlamydiales; Parachlamydiaceae
Description: contains 16S-23S intergenic spacer region
Source: RNAcentral